RNAcentral lists this transfer RNA (70 nucleotides) under Vibidia duodecimguttata (twelve-spotted ladybird beetle). RNAcentral's name for it is "tRNA-Gln". Lineage: Eukaryota; Metazoa; Arthropoda; Insecta; Coleoptera; Coccinellidae. The record is from RNAcentral.
UAUAUUCUAGUAUAAGAUGUACAAAAGUUUUUGAUACUUUAGGAAAUAAUUUAAUUUUUAUUGAAUAUAA